RNAcentral lists this ribosomal RNA (497 nucleotides) under uncultured bacterium. RNAcentral's name for it is "partial 16S ribosomal RNA". It matches the Rfam family "Bacterial small subunit ribosomal RNA", at positions 28 to 507 of the family's 1533-position model. The record is from RNAcentral.
GAUGAACGCUGGCGGCGUGCCUAAUACAUGCAAGUCGAGCGAACAGACGAGGAGCUUGCUCCUUUGACGUUAGCGGCGGACGGGUGAGUAACACGUAGGUAACCUACCUAUAAGACUGGGAUAACUUCGGGAAACCGGAGCUAAUACCGGAUAAUAUUUCGAACCGCAUGGUUCGAUAGUGAAAGAUGGCUUUGCUAUCACUUAUAGAUGGACCUGCGCCGUAUUAGCUAGUUGGUAAGGUAACGGCUUACCAAGGCAACGAUACGUAGCCGACCUGAGAGGGUGAUCGGCCACACUGGAACUGAGACACGGUCCAGACUCCUACGGGAGGCCGCAGUAGGGAAUCUUCCGCAAUGGGCGAAAGCCUGACGGAGCAACGCCGCGUGAGUGAUGAAGGUCUUCGGAUCGUAAAACUCUGUUAUUAGGGAAGAACAAACGUGUAAGUAACUGUGCACGUCUUGACGGUACCUAAUCAGAAAGCCACGGCUAACUACGUG